RNAcentral lists this ribosomal RNA (351 nucleotides) under uncultured bacterium. Its description in RNAcentral is "partial 16S ribosomal RNA". It matches the Rfam family "Bacterial small subunit ribosomal RNA", at positions 338 to 681 of the family's 1533-position model. The record is from RNAcentral.
CCUACGGGUGGCAGCAGUGGGGAAUAUUGCGCAAGGGGCGAAAGCCUGACGCAGCGACGCCUCGUGAGGGAUGAAGGUCUUCGGAUCGUAAACCUCUGUCAGCAGGGAAGAACGGUCACGGUGCUAAGCAGCAGUGAAUUGACGGUACCGGCAAAGGAAGCACCGGCUAACUCCGUGCCAGCAGCCGCGGUAAUACGGAGGGUGCGAGUGUUAAUCGGAAUUACUGGGCGUAAAGCGCUCGUAGGCGGUAUGUCAAGUCAAGGGUGAAAUCCCCGCGCGCAACGUGGGAACUGCCUUUGAAACUGGCAAACUGGAGUGUGUGAGCGCAUAGUGGAUUUCCAGUUGUAGGCG